GGACUGAUUAUGAGCAUGAGUGUAUGAUUUUAAAUUGGUCUGUGUGUAUUGAAUUGCUGUGUUUGUGUGUGUAAAUAAAGUGUGACUAUAUGUAAAGUGUUGUGAGUUUGUGCUUGAGUGACUGUGUGUGUGUGUAUGUGUGUGUUAGUGAAAGUGUGAAGUGGCAAUGUAAAUGUCACAGAGAGUGUGUGUGUGUGUGUGUGAGAGAGAGAGAGAGAAUGUGUAAG
Molecule: non-coding RNA, 227 nt
Organism: Pelobates cultripes (western spadefoot toad)
Lineage: Eukaryota; Metazoa; Chordata; Amphibia; Anura; Pelobatidae
Source: the annotation of a GenBank genome assembly